UACGAGAGGCCCCAAACGUUAUUCGGAUUUACUGGGCUUAAAGAGUUCGUAGGCGGCUUGGAAAGUGGGGUGUGAAAGCCCUCGGCUCAACCGAGGAAUUGCGCUCCAAACUACCGAGCUUGAGGAGGCUAGAGGUGAGCAGAACAGAUGGUGGAGCGGUGAAAUGCGUUGAUAUCAUCUGGAAUACCGGAGGCGAAGGCGGCUCACUGGGACCUUUCUGACGCUGAGGAACGAAAGCUAGGGGAGCAAACGGGAUUAGAAACCCCAGUAGU
This 272-nucleotide ribosomal RNA is filed under the name uncultured bacterium. RNAcentral describes it as "partial 16S ribosomal RNA". It matches the Rfam family "Bacterial small subunit ribosomal RNA", at positions 524 to 794 of the family's 1533-position model. The record is from RNAcentral.